Molecule: ribosomal RNA, 379 nt
Filed under: uncultured Nitrososphaerota archaeon
Lineage: Archaea; Thermoproteati; Nitrososphaerota
Description: bacterial SSU rRNA
Rfam family: Archaeal small subunit ribosomal RNA
Source: RNAcentral
UAAAACCAGCACCUCAAGUGUCAGGAUGAUUAUUGGGCCUAAAGCAUCCGUAGCCUGCCCUGUAAGUUUUCGGUUAAAUCUGUAUGCUCAACAUACAGGCCGCCGGGAAUACUGCAGGGCUAGGGAGUGGGAGAGGUAGACGGUACUCGGGAGGAAGUGGUAAAAUGCUUUGAUCUCUCGAUGACCACCUGUGGCGAAGGCGGUCUACCAGAACACGUCCGACGGUGAGGGAUGAAAGCUGGGGGAGCAAACCGGAUUAGAUACCCGGGUAGUCCCAGCCGUAAACUAUGCGAACUCAGUGAUGCAUUGGCUUGUGGCCAAUGCAGUGUUGCAGGGAAGCCGUUAAGUUUGCCGCCUGGGAAGUACGUACGCAAGUAUG